CUCAGCUCUAUCUGUCUCAGAGAUAUUUGCUCCACGGACACACACACACCUGUGGGAACCGGGUCUCAAAUCAGGUUCAAAUAAACUCAAAUCAUAUUCAAUCACUAUGGCAAUCCAACGAGUGUCUGCAACCCUUGGCAAUUUAGUGAAAGACGUCUACAACAAGGAAGGCUGUAAUUUGCUGCAAAAAGUCUCUUUGAUGAUGACACUAAGGGGAAGAUUGAAGAACUCCAGCUAUUAGCCAGACUCCGAAAGACCUGGGCCAGUAUGCCAGAGAUAAAGUAUCCACUGUGGCUUUGACAGAGGCACAAACUGCCUCUGUCAAAGCCACAUUCCAGUGUGUUAUAUGCAGAGGUUAGUAAAAUACUUGUUUGUAUUAAUACCAUUUCCUUAAAUACUUUAACAAAGUUUGAAAAAUAAAACCUGUCUUCAUGCACA
RNAcentral lists this long non-coding RNA (438 nucleotides) under Gouania willdenowi (blunt-snouted clingfish). Its description in RNAcentral is "lncRNA (ENSGWIG00000018087.1)". Lineage: Eukaryota; Metazoa; Chordata; Actinopteri; Blenniiformes; Gobiesocidae. The record is from RNAcentral.